RNAcentral lists this small nuclear RNA (106 nucleotides) under Castor canadensis (American beaver). The record is from RNAcentral. Lineage: Eukaryota; Metazoa; Chordata; Mammalia; Rodentia; Castoridae.
GUGCUUGCUUCAGCAGCACAUAUACUGAAAUUGGAACGGUACAGAAAAGAUUAGCAGGCCCCUGCUCGAGGAUGACACGCAAACUCUUGAAGCACUCCAUAUUUUA